RNAcentral lists this ribosomal RNA (253 nucleotides) under uncultured bacterium. Its description in RNAcentral is "partial 16S ribosomal RNA". It matches the Rfam family "Bacterial small subunit ribosomal RNA", at positions 524 to 776 of the family's 1533-position model. The record is from RNAcentral.
UACGGGGGGAGCAAGCGUUGUCCGGAUUUAUUGGGCGUAAAGAGCGUGUAGGCGGCCUGACAAGUCUGCUGUGAAAACUCGAGGCUCAACCUCGAGAUGUCGGCGGAAACUGUCUGGCUAGAGUCCGGAAGAGGAGAGUGGAAUUCCUGGUGUAGCGGUGAAAUGCGCAGAUAUCAGGAAGAACACCUAUGGCGAAGGCAGCUCUCUGGGACGGUACUGACGCUGAGACGCGAAAGCGUGGGGAGCGAACAGG